This 94-nucleotide microRNA precursor is filed under the name Vicugna pacos (alpaca). RNAcentral's name for it is "miRNA (ENSVPAG00000018047.1)". The record is from RNAcentral. Lineage: Eukaryota; Metazoa; Chordata; Mammalia; Artiodactyla; Camelidae.
AUCACCUGGGGAUCUUGUUACAUUCCGGAUUCUGAUUUAGUAGGUCUGUGAUGGGGCCUGAGAAUUUGCAUUUCUAACAAGUUCCCAGGUGAAG